This 72-nucleotide small RNA is filed under the name Polaribacter sp. SA4-12. RNAcentral describes it as "Flavo-1 RNA". It matches the Rfam family "Flavo-1 RNA". The record is from Rfam by way of RNAcentral. Lineage: Bacteria; Pseudomonadati; Bacteroidota; Flavobacteriia; Flavobacteriales; Flavobacteriaceae.
GUUUAGCCCUGAUUGAAACGACAUCCUUUUUUCUAUUUCAGAAAAAAGAUAUAGUGGAAAGCAGGAAAUAGC